RNAcentral lists this ribosomal RNA (477 nucleotides) under uncultured bacterium. RNAcentral's name for it is "partial 16S ribosomal RNA". It matches the Rfam family "Bacterial small subunit ribosomal RNA", at positions 28 to 507 of the family's 1533-position model. The record is from RNAcentral.
GAUGAACGCUGGCGGCGUGCCUAAUACAUGCAAGUCGAGCGAACAGACGAGGAGCUUGCUCCUCUGACGUUAGCGGCGGACGGGUGAGUAACACGUGGAUAACCUACCUAUAAGACUGGGAUAACUUCGGGAAACCGGAGCUAAUACCGGAUAAUAUAUUGAACCGCAUGGUUCAAUAGUGAAAGACGGUUUUGCUGUCACUUAUAGAUGGAUCCGCGCCGCAUUAGCUAGUUGGUAAGGUAACGGCUUACCAAGGCAACGAUGCGUAGCCGACCUGAGAGGGGGACCGGCGAAACGGGGACUGAGAGAGGGCCCAGACGGCAACGGGAGGCAGGAGGGGGGAAUAGUGCACAAUGGGCGAAAGCGAGAGACAGAGAUGCAGCGAGAGGGAUGACUGGCUACGAGGUGUAAACCCAUUUCAGCGCAGACGAACAGCAAGUGACGGUAGGUGAAGAAGAAGGAACGGCCAACUACGUG